RNAcentral lists this ribosomal RNA (441 nucleotides) under uncultured bacterium. RNAcentral's name for it is "bacterial SSU rRNA". It matches the Rfam family "Bacterial small subunit ribosomal RNA", at positions 958 to 1400 of the family's 1533-position model. The record is from RNAcentral.
AACGCGAAGAACCUUACCUGGGCUCGAACGGCUAGUCAACGAUCGUGGAAACAGAGACUUCCCGCAAGGGACCUGUGUAGAGGUGCUGCAUGGCUGUCGUCAGCUCGUGCCGUGAGGUGUUGGGUUAAGUCCCGCAACGAGCGCAACCCUUACUCGUAGUUGCCACCCGCAAGGGGGAACUCUACGAGGACUGCUCCGGAUAACGGAGAGGAAGGUGGGGAUGAGGUCAAGUCAGCAUGGCCUUUAUGUCCAGGGCUACACACGUGUUACAAUGCGCGCCACAAAGCGUCGCGAACCCGCGAGGGGGAGCUAAUCGCAAAAAAGCGCGCUCAGUUCGGAUUGCAGUCUGCAACUCGACUGCAUGAAGCCGGAAUCGCUAGUAAUGGCGCAUCAGAACGGCGCCGUGAAUACGUUCCCGGGCCUUGUACACACCGGUAUCUC